Long non-coding RNA from Spinacia oleracea (spinach), 627 nucleotides. RefSeq lists it as uncharacterized. The record is from RefSeq and is a predicted model, not a curated record. NCBI's taxonomy places the organism in Eukaryota, Viridiplantae, Streptophyta, Magnoliopsida, Caryophyllales, Amaranthaceae. The transcript is spliced from 3 exons.
UACCCCAAUUUUUCGGGUAUUUUCUAAUAAAUUAUUUUAGUAAUUUUAGAUAAUUUUACAAAUAAAGUAAUGGUUUUAAUGAGUUUAAAAAAAAACUAAAAGUAUAUUUUCAGAUUUAUUUUAUAAAUUUUCUAAAAUUAAGUCUCCUAGUUAAACCCUAAUACCAUAAAUUAUAUAUACCCUCAAAUCAAAAAAAAAAAAAAACCCUGCUACAAUAUACCUUACCCUCACGCAUCUCUGCCGCCGACUACCAUAUUAUCAUCUUCAUCAAAACCAUUCUUCUCUGCAGACUGAGGCUACUUAGGAAACACGCAAGGAGACUACUAGUUCGAAGCUAGUACGCGCGUGUUCAAGGUUGGUAAAGGUACUUGGCUACGAGUGAGGAGACGCUUAGAAUAACCACCUAGUCAAGAGACAAUUUCUAGUUCAGUUUAAGUUGAACUUUGUUAUCUAUUUUAUGAGAAUUGGUUGUAUUAUUUUUAUGGGCCACCUUUUAGACCACUUAGUUAAUUUUGACUUUAAUGGUUUUAAAUUAUUUUGUUGCUUUGCAUUUAUUUUCUAAGGAGAAUAAAUGUAGCAGUGACACUCCCAAGGUUUGGACGGUUAUUUUAUGAAAUAAAAAUAGGG